UACAGAGGGUGCAAGCGUUAAUCGGAAUUACUGGGCGUAAAGCGUGCGUAGACGGUUAUUUAAGUCGGGUGUGAAAGCCCCGGGCUCAACCUGGGAAUUGCAUUCGAGACUGAAUAGCUAGGGUACGGUAGAGGGAAGCGGAAUUUCCGGUGUGGCGGUGAAAUGCGUAGAUAUCGGAAGGAACAUCAGUGGCGAAAGCGGCUUCCUGGACCAGUACCGACGUUCAGGCACGAAAGCGUGGGGAGCAAACAGG
This 253-nucleotide ribosomal RNA is filed under the name uncultured bacterium. Its description in RNAcentral is "partial 16S ribosomal RNA". It matches the Rfam family "Bacterial small subunit ribosomal RNA", at positions 524 to 776 of the family's 1533-position model. The record is from RNAcentral.